This 402-nucleotide ribosomal RNA is filed under the name uncultured bacterium. RNAcentral describes it as "bacterial SSU rRNA". It matches the Rfam family "Bacterial small subunit ribosomal RNA", at positions 355 to 774 of the family's 1533-position model. The record is from RNAcentral.
UGGGGGAUAUUGCUCAAUGGGGGAAACCCUGAAGCAGCAACGCCGCGUGAAGGAAGAAGGUCUUCGGAUUGUAAACUUUUGUCUUCUGGGAAGAUAAUGACGGUACCAGAGGAGGAAGCCACGGCUAACUACGUGCCAGCAGCCGCGGUAAUACGUAGGUGGCAAGCGUUGUCCGGAAUUACUGGGCGUAAAGGGUGCGUAGGCGGGUGCGCAAGUCAGAUGUGAAAUCCCGGGGCUUAACCCCGGAACUGCAUUUGAAACUGUGCGUCUUGAGUGGAGGAGAGGUAAGUGGAAUUCCCAGUGUAGCGGUGAAAUGCGUAGAUAUUGGGAGGAACACCAGUGGCGAAGGCGACUUACUGGACUCUAACUGACGCUGAGGCACGAAAGCGUGGGGAGCAAACA